GGCUUAGAAGCAGCCAUCCUUCAAAGAAAGCGUAAUAGCUCACUGAUCGAGUCUUCCUGCGCGGAAGAUGUAACGGGGCUAAGUCAAUAACCGAAGCCGCGGAUUCACGAGUAAUCGUGAGUGGUAGGGGAGCGUUCUGUAAGCCUGCGAAGGUGGUUCGUAAGGACUGCUGGAGGUAUCAGAAGUGCGAAUGCUGACAUGAGUAACGUUAAAGCAGGUGAAAAGCCUGCUCGCCGUAAGCCCAAGGUUUCCUGCUCUACGUUCAUCGGAGCAGGGUGAGUCGGCCCCUAAGGCGAGGCUGAGAAGCGUAGCUGAUGGGAACAAGGUUAAUAUUCCUUGACCGCCGUUGAGUGCGAAGGGGGGA
This 364-nucleotide ribosomal RNA is filed under the name uncultured Burkholderiales bacterium. RNAcentral describes it as "bacterial LSU rRNA". It matches the Rfam family "Bacterial large subunit ribosomal RNA", at positions 1103 to 1472 of the family's 2925-position model. The record is from RNAcentral. Lineage: Bacteria; Pseudomonadati; Pseudomonadota; Betaproteobacteria; Burkholderiales.